Ictalurus punctatus (channel catfish) is the source of this 2781-nucleotide long non-coding RNA. NCBI's taxonomy places the organism in Eukaryota, Metazoa, Chordata, Actinopteri, Siluriformes, Ictaluridae. The record is from Ensembl.
GGAAUGACCUGAAAUAGAAACACAGAAACAUUUUCUGUCGUUUUCGCUAGAUAACCUUAGCAAUAAGCUAGCAGUAAGCAACUAGCUCAGCACUAGAAUUAGUUAGCUAUUUUCAGUAUAGUAAAAGCUGGCUAGUGAUUAAGCCUAGUGCUACCUUUAGAUUGCAAUUUUUGUUAUUAAAGUUAUUAAGCUUAGUGCUGAUGUUAAUUUCCUAUUUUUUACUAGCUAAAGUUGCCUAGCAACAGAAGCUUAGCACUUGGAAUUUUUGCUAGGGAAAGUUGGCUAGUGACUAAGCUUAGUGCUAUACUUAGCUACUUUUGCUAGUUGGAUAGUGAUUACGCUUAGUACUAGUGUUAGUCUGCUGUUUAUGCUAGUUAAAGUUUGCUAGCAAUCAUCUUCGCACUAGUUUAAUUUUUAUUUAUUGCUAGUUAUUUACCAAGCUUAAUGGUUGUGUUUGUUAUCCGUUUUUGCUAGUUAACUUUGUCUAGCUAGUUAAAGUUGUUUAGCUACAAAACUUAGCAUUAGUGUUAGUUUAGCUAUUUUCUCUGGUGAAGGUUAGCUAGUGAGUGAACUUAGUGCUAGCCUUAGGCCAGCUACUUUUGCCAGACAGAGUUGGAUAGCACCAAAGCACAGCACUGGUAUUAGUCAGAUAUGAUUGCUUGUGUACUGUCAGUCUAUCAAUGUUGAAAAUCAAACAAAACAAAAAGAAACAAACACCCAUAACUCUUCAGAAAGGCUGAACAGCUAGCGUGCGAAAGUGAUUAGAGAAAUGUCACGAACUUGAAGUGAUCCUGAAUGAGGUGCUGCUCCUAAAAUGAAUUAACAUAGUGACGAUAUAAAUAAAUGAUAAAGAAUUACAACAAAAUGUAAAUAAUUUUCUGACAAUUGAAUGAACGUUAGUGUUCCACUCAAGCUGAGAGCCCGAGAUAAAGUGUGAUGAAGGACAGUGCAAAAUGGGACAUGGGGUGGGUUUCAGGGAAAGUGGGACAGAGCUUAAAGGGUAGACGGGAUAAAAAAAAUUAAAAUGGCAGGAUAUAAGAAGGAGAACUGACUACAGGCUGCACUGAGAGCUCAUAUCUUCACUGUGUUAAAGAAAGGAUGGCACCACAAGGAAGCAGACAGAAGGACGGAAAAAAGACAAGAUACAGAGGCAUAAACAAAGCAAAGAAAGGAGAGCACUGCAGGUAUAGGACGGAAUGAAGAAUUAAUCAAUGGAAGGAGGAAAGAAUGAAAAGAGCUCUAGAGGAAUAUCAGAAGCAAGUGGAGAAUGGACAGAAUCCAAACCUCAGACUUUUGGCUAGAGCUUGGAACAUCCCUAAAUCUACUCUCCAGAGACUUGUGAAGGGACUCAUCAGAGGUUUUCAUCAUGCAUCAGGGAAAAAUCCUCUACUUUCUUCAGAAAGUAGGGAAGGACGUUGCUGAUCUUAUCAAGGUUCUUGCAGCGAGAGGCUUUCCGAUGUCACGCACAGACAUACAAAACAUCACCUUUCAGUAUGUGAAGGCCAACGGUGUGAAAGGUUUCUCAGAGAAAAAACAAAAAGCAGGCUAUUAUUGGUUUUGAAGGCUUUCUGAGAAGAAACCAACAUCUGAGUAUUUGUACCCUAGAAGCUGUUGUUGCUGAAAGUUCUGGAAUUUGUCCUACACUGGGUUCUGAAUGGUUCAGAAAUUAUGAACAACUUCUCAGAGAACUCAAGAUCAUUGACGUUUCAUCACACAUCUGGACUUUCAAGGAAUUUGAAUUAAAAGACUUCUGCGGCUCUUCCGUUGGAGCCCUGGAUGUAUAACAAGGAGAAACCGCAACAGUCCUAUCUGGAUUGAAUGCUGCUGGAAGAUGCACUCUUUCUCUGCACUUCUUUUCUUUGUUCUCAUCAGCAUGGGAGAAGACCGUCAGCGUUGAUUACGUUCAGUCAGGUUUGAUUGUUUUCGUAAUACAGAUGUCGUGGUGAUUUUAGAUGUUCUUUAUAAAUUCAACAGAUGAAUUGAUAACAAAACAUUCAAGUCCUCCACAGGUUUCAGAGCCGCAGGGAUGUUUCCUGUUAACAUGGACAUGAUUCCCAGUGAUGCUCUCACAAACACAGAGAGUGAGAUGGAUAAAUGUGAGGAGACCAGGACCACACCACUACAGAGUUUACCCUAGGCACAUGAGAUGGAUAUUGUAAAAGAGACCAGCUUUUUGACCACCAGGCCUGGUGACUACAGUGAGCCUCCCUCAACUACUGAGUUUUGUCAGGAUAAAGGAAGGAAUCAAUCCAUAAUUUCAGAUCAUAAAUACAAUUGACUUGGGAAUAUCCAGGGAUUCACCAAGAGGAGCUGGAAUCUGUGUCCAGGAAUAGUGUUGUCUGGGCUGACCUUCUAAACCUUCUCACCCUGACCACCACUGGAAACGUGGAAGCAAAAUGACUGAAUGAAUGAAUACAUUCUGUGAAUAAAGUGGGAAAAAGAACUGUGGUGGAUGUAGAACCGAGAUAAACGUGAGUGUCAUCUGCAUAACAGUGGAUGCUAAGGGCAUUUUCCACCAGUGAUCUGGCCAAUAGGAAUCUGACAUACAGAGAAAGGGAGGUGACCAAGGAUUGAACCUUGAGGGACACCGUGUAUAACAGGGGCAAAAGAGCAUGUAUGUUUACCAAUGGUUAUAUAGUACUAUCUAUCUGAGAGGUAAGAUGCAAAUCAAAGCUGAGCCAUGCCACAAAUAGCGAGAGGCAUAAGAGCAGAAUUCUAUGGAAAACCAUGUCAAAAGCUGCACUGAGAUCUAACAAAAUAAGAUUGAUGAUGGCACCAACA